UAUAAAUAUUUGAAACACUAUAUUUCUAGGUGGAUGCAGAAAGUGUGUACUGAACUUUUAUGUUUGUUGCAUUUUAAUAAUGAUUAAAGCUGAGAAAAUAAUUUAGCAGCAAAGUUGAGUCAACAAUUGCAGCAAUGCGAGGGCUUUCAGCUACUACAGCUAGCAAUCAACCACAACUUACUACUUUGUUUUAACUGGCUGCUCAUGAAGCUAAAAAAUCAAGUACUCAGGGUUGCAUUUAACAGUGAUUUUAUUCUACUGCAGAUCGAUAGGGUGCCCACAACAUCAGUGGCCCGUGAACCAGAGGCUUUUCACUAUGGAUAUCAUGUACUAUAGGUAAUGUUGUAGAUAUUGGAAACACAUUGGGCUAGAUGCAUUGGAUUUAUCAAAGCCAUUGAACUGCCACUUUUGCCGCCGCUGAAAAAGUCAGUUGAACGGAAAGUAGUGCUUGGAAACAAUUGGACCUGGUUGUUGCAACUGGUGGUGAUGGAACUCUUCCGCUGGCCCGCCAUUUAAUGGAUGGCAAAAUUCCUGUCCUUUGAUUGAACUCAGAUCCUACUUGGAUUGAUGAGGUUUAUGAUAUACAUGUAGUAUUUGUUUAAAUAUUGAUAUAUUGGCUUCUGAAUUUAGACAUUUUGUUUGAAUUAAUGAAUUUAUAUCUUAUUUGUAAUAGGUGGAAAAAUUAAGUGGUGGGUUUUGAUGCUUCUAGAAGUACCGGUCAUCUUUCUGCUGCAACUAUUGAAAACUUCGAACCAAUAUUCUUUCAGUUUUGAUUCCAUGGAGUAGCUAAAACUAUUUAUGUUUUAUGAUGCUUUAGUUCUUUCGUUUAUGUACAACUUAAUGAAUUAAUAUCUUUACUAUUAUAGAUUAUAUUCUUUGGAAUAAGAUUAUGAAAUUUUAUAUUUGCAUCAUUCUUUUUUGCCAUUGAUUUGUGCCAUUGAUUUGUGCUUUGGUUUGGGGAUUAAUAGUAGUUACCUUUUUUUGUUGUUUAAUGUGGAGACACCACCUUUCAUUUUAUUA
Long non-coding RNA from Vicia villosa (hairy vetch), 1020 nucleotides. RefSeq lists it as uncharacterized. The record is from RefSeq and is a predicted model, not a curated record. The transcript is spliced from 3 exons. NCBI's taxonomy places the organism in Eukaryota, Viridiplantae, Streptophyta, Magnoliopsida, Fabales, Fabaceae.